CAGAGCAGCACCAAAUACUGAAUGUGCUGACCCGCAAACCCUUUUUUGGGGGGGAUCAAAUCAACUGGCUGCACAGCACUGCCUCGCGCCCUCAUCCACGCACGGCACCUUCGCAGCAGAUGGCUCAACAUUUAAAGCCCUGCACGGUGUGGACUAUAGAUUUGCCUGAGUUAAUCCCUGUGAUCUCAGAUGUGGCCUGGCUCGGGCUGGAGCUCGGGCUGCUGAUUUAUUCCACAGAGGGAGGGAUGAGGUGGGACAGAAAGGACACUGUGACCCCAGAAAAAAAACUUUCCAUGCUGUUGUAACAAUAGUAGUCAGAGUGUUCCUCCAUGACAGUGCUGGAAAGUAACUCAUUUUCAGCGAGACAAGUGGUGUCUUCAUGUCAACUAUGAUGUAAGCUUUGGGCAUUAUGUGCUCAUUGUGCAGAAAAUUGCUGAAGAUGUUGACGGAGUGGGAUCCAGAGGACGCCUGCAGCUCCUUGCUGCUCACCCUCUAGCAACCAGCGAGUUUUGCCAGCAACUCAAGC
Long non-coding RNA from Acanthopagrus latus (yellowfin seabream), 526 nucleotides. RefSeq lists it as uncharacterized. NCBI's taxonomy places the organism in Eukaryota, Metazoa, Chordata, Actinopteri, Spariformes, Sparidae. The transcript has 3 exons. The record is from RefSeq and is a predicted model, not a curated record.